Non-coding RNA from Mycena amicta, 100 nucleotides. NCBI's taxonomy places the organism in Eukaryota, Fungi, Basidiomycota, Agaricomycetes, Agaricales, Mycenaceae. The record is from the annotation of a GenBank genome assembly.
UCCCGCCUAGCUCAAUCGGAUAGAGCGUCAGACUCUUAACAUAGUCCGUUGGGCGUAAUUUGGAAUCUGAAGGCUGCGAGUUCGACCCUCGCGGUGGGCU